CCACCCAAACUUAUCCUUGGGUUUUCACUGAUUAGUGCUUUCAAGCCUGCCUGCCUUAGUUCAUGUAGCUCCUCCUCUGGUACUGGGAUAAACACUUGUAUUACCAUUUUAAAGGCUAUCAUUACUCUUUACCUGUGAAGAGUAGAACAUGAAGAAAUCUACUUUAUUCAGAUAUUCUCCAGAUUCCUAAAGAUUAGAGAUCAUUUCUCAUUCUCCUAGGAGUACUCACUUCAGGAAGCAACCAGAUAAAA
This 251-nucleotide long non-coding RNA is filed under the name Homo sapiens (human). RNAcentral describes it as "non-protein coding lnc-ABCB1-2:2". The record is from RNAcentral. Lineage: Eukaryota; Metazoa; Chordata; Mammalia; Primates; Hominidae.